RNAcentral lists this transfer RNA (61 nucleotides) under Cacopsylla burckhardti. RNAcentral describes it as "tRNA-Thr". It matches the Rfam family "tRNA". From Rfam's summary of the family: Transfer RNA (tRNA) molecules are approximately 80 nucleotides in length. Their secondary structure includes four short double-helical elements and three loops (D, anti-codon, and T loops). The record is from RNAcentral. Lineage: Eukaryota; Metazoa; Arthropoda; Insecta; Hemiptera; Psyllidae.
GUUUUAGUAGUUUAAUUAAAAAACAUUGAUCUUGUAAAUCAAAAAUAUUCAUUCUAAAACA